RNAcentral lists this small RNA (71 nucleotides) under Klebsiella pneumoniae. Its description in RNAcentral is "partial RtT sRNA". It matches the Rfam family "RtT RNA", at positions 1 to 70 of the family's 130-position model. Rfam says of the family: This family represents a bacterial cis-regulatory element known as RtT RNA. The exact function of RtT is unknown although it is thought that it may be involved in changing the cellular response in relation to amino acid starvation. Lineage: Bacteria; Pseudomonadati; Pseudomonadota; Gammaproteobacteria; Enterobacterales; Enterobacteriaceae. The record is from RNAcentral. RNAcentral also lists the same sequence under 1 other name.
UAUUCUGCCCCAUGGGGAAGGAUGAGAAGCUUCGACUAAGGUUCGACUCGAGCGCCAGCGAGAGAACGUUG